AGCAGCCGCGGUAAUUCCAGCUCCAAUAGCGUAUAUUAAAGUUGUUGCAGUUAAAAAGCUCGUAGUUGAACUUCGGGGUUUACCCAUUGGUCAGGCUUAAUUGUCUGUACUGGUGAGAUAAAUCUCUACCUUCUGAGGAACUUUCAUGUCAUUAAUUUGGUGCGAUUGGAAGUCAGGACUGUUGCUUUGAAAAAAUUUAGAGUGUUUAAAGCAGGCUAACGUCUGAAUACAUUAGCAUGGAAUAAUGAAAUAGGACGGACUGAUUCUAUUUCGUUGGUUUCUAGGAUCACCGUAAUGAUUAAUAGGGAUAGUUGGGGGCAUUAGUAUUCAAUUGUCAGAGGUGAAAUUCUUGGAUUUAUUGAAGACUAACUACUGCGAAAGCAUUUGCCAAGGAUGUUUUCAUUAAUCAAGAACGAAAGUUAGGGGAUCGAAGACGAUC
Molecule: ribosomal RNA, 439 nt
Filed under: uncultured Diversispora
Lineage: Eukaryota; Fungi; Glomeromycota; Glomeromycetes; Diversisporales; Diversisporaceae
Description: SSU rRNA
Rfam family: Eukaryotic small subunit ribosomal RNA
Source: RNAcentral